ACUCGUCACUAAAAAAUAGACUUACAUAUUCGAAAUCAAAGCAUAUAGCAGCAUGAAGAAGAGUAAUUUGAUCAUGGCAUCAUUUCUCAUCAUCUUCUUCAUCAUCCUCGCCACGGCUGUUGUGCCAUCCGAGGCGGCUCGAGCCACUAACAAGACAAGGUUUCAGUUUAGGGACGGGACGUGUGGGCCUUGUUCGUGUUGCAAGGCCGACACGCCGCCUUGCUGCAUCUGUGCCUGCCCAUAUCUGCCGUGAUGCGACUAACGGAAGCGCCACUACCAAAAAAUUGACAUGUAUUUACUGUUUGAUGUAUGUUGGUAUAUACAGUUGAAAUGAAUAAAGUAUAUAUCAAAUCAUAGAAAACUUUACUAAA
This is a long non-coding RNA of Salvia splendens (bonfire salvia), 371 nucleotides long. RefSeq lists it as uncharacterized. Lineage: Eukaryota; Viridiplantae; Streptophyta; Magnoliopsida; Lamiales; Lamiaceae. The record is from RefSeq and is a predicted model, not a curated record. The transcript is spliced from 2 exons.